UGGCGCACGGGUGCGUAACGCGUAACCAACCUACCCGAAUCUGGGGGAUAGCCCGCCGAAAGGCGGAUUAAUACCGCAUAAAACUGCAGCACGGCAUCGUGUAACAGUUAAAGAUUUAUUGGAUUCGGAUGGGGUUGCGUGCCAUUAGCUAGUUGGCGGGGUAACGGCCCACCAAGGCGACGAUGGCUAGGGGAGCUUAGAGGCUGGUCCCCCACACGGGCACAGGGAUACGGGCCCGACUCCUACGGGAGGCAGCAGUAGGGAAUAUUGGGCAAUGGGCAAGAGCCUGACCCAGCCACGCCGCGUGCAGGAUGAAGGCUUUCUGAGUCGUAAACUGCUUUUACCAGGGAAGAAAAAAGGGGAUGCGUCCUCUACUGACGGUACCUGGUGAAUAAGCACCGGCUAACUCCGUGCCAGCAGCCGCGGUAAUACGGAGGGUGCAAGCGUUGUCCGGAUUUAUUGGGUUUAAAGGGUGCGUAGGCGGCUGAUUAAGUCUGGGGUGAGAGCCCGUUGCUCAACAACGGAACUGCCCUGGAAAC
Molecule: ribosomal RNA, 539 nt
Filed under: uncultured Hymenobacter sp.
Lineage: Bacteria; Pseudomonadati; Bacteroidota; Cytophagia; Cytophagales; Hymenobacteraceae
Description: bacterial SSU rRNA
Rfam family: Bacterial small subunit ribosomal RNA
Source: RNAcentral